GCAGUAGCCACGGUAAAACGUAGGUGGCAAGCGUUGUCCGGAAUUAUUGGGCGUAAAGGGCUCGCAGGCGGUUUCUUAAGUCUGAUGUGAAAGCCCCCGGCUCAACCGGGGAGGGUCAUUGGAAACUGGGAAACUUGAGUGCAGAAGAGGAGAGUGGAAUUCCACGUGUAGCGGUGAAAUGCGUAGAGAUGUGGAGGAACACCAGUGGCGAAGGCGACUCUCUGGUCUGUAACUGACGCUGAGGAGCGAAAGCGUGGGAAGCGAACAGGAUUAGAUACCCCAGUAGUCCCUGUCUCUUAUAC
Molecule: ribosomal RNA, 302 nt
Filed under: uncultured bacterium
Lineage: Bacteria
Description: partial 16S ribosomal RNA
Rfam family: Bacterial small subunit ribosomal RNA
Source: RNAcentral